This 232-nucleotide ribosomal RNA is filed under the name uncultured bacterium. RNAcentral's name for it is "partial 16S ribosomal RNA". It matches the Rfam family "Bacterial small subunit ribosomal RNA", at positions 15 to 224 of the family's 1533-position model. The record is from RNAcentral.
GAUCCUGGCUCAGGACGAACGCUGGCGGCGUGCUUAACACAUGCAAGUCGAACGGAGCACCCUUGAUUGAGGUUUCGGCCAAAUGAUAGGAAUGCUUAGUGGCAGACUGGUGAGUAACGCGUGAGGAACUUGCCUUUCAGAGGGGGACGAACAGUUGGAAACGAACUGCUAAUACCGCAUGACGCAUUUUGUAUCGCAUGGUCGAAAUAGCCAAAGAAUUAUUCGCUGAAAG